AUUGAACGCUGGCGGAAUGCUUUACACAUGCAAGUCGAACGGCAGCACGGACUUCGGUCUGGUGGCGAGUGGCGAACGGGUGAGUAAUGUAUCGGAACGUGCCCAGUCGUGGGGGAUAACGUAGUGAAAAUUACGCUAAUACCGCAUACGAUCUAUGGAUGAAAGCGGGGGAUCGCAAGACCUCGCGCGAUUGGAGCGGCCGAUAUCAGAUUAGGUAGUUGGUGGGGUAAAGGCCCACCAAGCCAACGAUCUGUAGCUGGUCUGAGAGGACGUCCAGCCACACUGGAACUGAUACACGGUCCAGACUCCUACGGGAGGCAGCAGUGGGGAAUUUUGGGCAAUGGGCGAAAGCCUGAUUCAGCCAUUCCGCGUGCAGGAUGAAGGCCCUCGGGUUGUAAACUGCUUUUGUACAGAACGAAAAGGUUUCUACUAAUACUAGGAGCUCAUGACGGUACUGUAAGAAUAAGCACCGGCUAACUACGUGCCAGCCGCCGCAGUAA
RNAcentral lists this ribosomal RNA (500 nucleotides) under uncultured bacterium. RNAcentral's name for it is "partial 16S ribosomal RNA". It matches the Rfam family "Bacterial small subunit ribosomal RNA", at positions 30 to 523 of the family's 1533-position model. The record is from RNAcentral.